UAGGGAAUCUUCGGCAAUGGACGAAAGUCUGACCGAGCAACGCCGCGUGAGUGAAGAAGGUUUUCGGAUCGUAAAACUCUGUUGUUAGAGAAGAACAAGGACGUUAGUAACUGAACGUCCCCUGACGGUAUCUAACCAGAAAGCCACGGCUAACUACGUGCCAGCAGCCGCGGUAAUACGUAGGUGGCAAGCGUUGUCCUGAUUUAUUGGGCGUAAAGCGAGCGCAGGCGGUUUCUUAAGUCUGAUGUGAAAGCCCCCGGCUCAACCGGGGAGGGUCAUUGGAAACUGGGAGACUUGAGUGCAGAAGAGGAGAGUGGAAUUCCAUGUGUAGCGGUGAAAUGCGUAGAUAUAUGGAGGAACACCAGUGGCGAAGGCGGCUCUCUGGUCUGUAACUGACGCUGAGGCUCGAAAGCGUGGGGAGCAAACAGG
RNAcentral lists this ribosomal RNA (429 nucleotides) under Gemmatimonadota bacterium. Its description in RNAcentral is "Gemmatimonadetes bacterium partial 16S ribosomal RNA". It matches the Rfam family "Bacterial small subunit ribosomal RNA", at positions 355 to 776 of the family's 1533-position model. Lineage: Bacteria; Pseudomonadati; Gemmatimonadota. The record is from RNAcentral.